GGGGAUGGUGGAAAGUGAUUGAGUUAUGAGAAGCCUUGGGUAUGAGAGGGUCGGCAUGGUAUGAUGAUGAUGAUGAUGAUGAUGAUGAUGAUUCUUCUUUCAUUUUCUCUAUUUAAUCUUGCCGACUCCUCCCAUACCAAUGGUUUCUCAUUUCUCUUCCCUUUCCUUUUUAUCCCCCU
RNAcentral lists this microRNA precursor (179 nucleotides) under Aquilegia coerulea. RNAcentral's name for it is "Aquilegia caerulea miR482a stem-loop (aqc-MIR482a)". Its record names the gene aqc-MIR482a. Lineage: Eukaryota; Viridiplantae; Streptophyta; Magnoliopsida; Ranunculales; Ranunculaceae. The record is from miRBase by way of RNAcentral.